AGUGAACGCUGGCGGCAGGCCUAAUACAUGCAAGUCGAACGGCAGCACAGCAGAGCUUGCUCUGUGGGUGGCGAGUGGCGGACGGGUGAGGAAUACGUGGGAAUCUGCCCAGUCGUGGGGAUAACGUAGGGAAACUUACGCUAAUACCGCAUGCGCCCUUCGGGGAAAGCCGGGGACCUUCGGGCCUGGCGCGAUUGGAUGAGCCCACGUCGGAUUAGCUAGUUGGCGGGGUAAAGGCCCACCAAGGCGACGAUCCGUAGCUGGUCUGAGAGGAUGAUCAGCCACACUGGAACUGAGACACGGUCCAGACUCCUACGGGAGGCAGCAGUAGGGAAUAUUGGACAAUGGGCGCAAGCCUGAUCCAGCCAUGCCGCGUGAGUGAA
RNAcentral lists this ribosomal RNA (383 nucleotides) under uncultured bacterium. RNAcentral describes it as "bacterial SSU rRNA". It matches the Rfam family "Bacterial small subunit ribosomal RNA", at positions 29 to 409 of the family's 1533-position model. The record is from RNAcentral.